UAGGGAAUCUUGCGCAAUGGGCGAAAGCUUGACGCAGCUACGCCACGUGGAUGAUGAAGGCCUUCGGGUCGUAAAGUCCUUUUCUGAAGGAAGAACGGCCUCGUGAGGAAAUGCACGGGGUAUGACGGUACUUCAGGAAUAAGCCACGGCUAACUCUGUGCCAGCAGCCGCGGUAAUACAGAGGUGGCAAGCGUUGUUCGGAAUUACUGGGCGUAAAGGGAGCGCAGGCGGCCAGGUCAGUCUGAAGUGCAAGCCCGGGGCUCAACCCCGGAAUUGCUUUGGAUACUACUUGGCUUGAGUACGUCAGAGGUGAGCGGAAUUCCAGGUGUAGCGGUGAAAUGCGUAGAUAUCUGGAGGAACAUCGGUGGCGAAAGCGGCUCACUGGGACGAAACUGACGCUGAGGCUCGAAAGCGUGGGGAGCGAACGGGAUUAGAUACCCCGGUAGUCCACGCUGUAAACGUUGUGCACUAGGUGU
RNAcentral lists this ribosomal RNA (476 nucleotides) under uncultured bacterium. RNAcentral's name for it is "bacterial SSU rRNA". It matches the Rfam family "Bacterial small subunit ribosomal RNA", at positions 355 to 823 of the family's 1533-position model. The record is from RNAcentral.